Molecule: ribosomal RNA, 497 nt
Filed under: uncultured bacterium
Lineage: Bacteria
Description: partial 16S ribosomal RNA
Rfam family: Bacterial small subunit ribosomal RNA
Source: RNAcentral
GAUGAACGCUGGCGGCGUGCCUAAUACAUGCAAGUCGAGCGAACAGACGAGGAGCUUGCUGCUCUGACGUUAGCCGCGGACGUGUGAGUAACACGUGGAUAACCUCCCUAUAAUUCUGGGAUCACUUCGGGAAACCGGAUCUAAUCCCGUAUAAUAUCUUGCACCGCAUUGUUCAAUAGUGAAAUACGGUGUUUCUGUCUCUUAUAGAUGGAUCCGCGCUGCAUUAGAUAGUUGGUACGGUAACGGCUUACCAAGGCAACGAUGCGUAGCCGACCUGAGAGGGUGAUAGGCCACAUGGGAGCGGAGACACGGUCCAGACUCCUACGGGAGGCAGCAGUAGGGAAUCGUACGCAAUGGGCGAAAGCCUGACGGAGCAACGCCGAGUGAGUGAUGAAGGUCUUCGGAUCGUAAAACUCUGUUAUUAGGGAAGAACAAAUGUGUAAGUAACUGUGCACGUCUUGACGGUAACUAAUCAGAAAGCCACGGCUAACUACGUG